Xenia sp. Carnegie-2017 is the source of this 646-nucleotide long non-coding RNA. RefSeq lists it as uncharacterized. The record is from RefSeq and is a predicted model, not a curated record. The transcript has 3 exons. NCBI's taxonomy places the organism in Eukaryota, Metazoa, Cnidaria, Anthozoa, Malacalcyonacea, Xeniidae.
CACAAUAUUCAAGGCACACUGUUCAAUGGUAAUUUUCUUUUCACAACGCAUGCGCUGUGUACUUCAACCACUUGAAAUACUAAAAGUGUUUUGUAUGUGUUAAGACGAUAAAAACUCUGCAAAAAAUCAAGACACGCAAGUCGCAAAGUCUGGAAGAAUGGCAUCGUCGCAGCCAACAUCAAGCGAAUACCCCGAAAUUAAAAAAUGUAAUCGCUGUCGUGAUUUCUAUAUCACGGCUAAAUGUGGGCACACUGUUCAUCUCUCCCCGUUGAUGGAGUCAUGGGGAAAAUUCCAAUGCAAAAUUUGUGGUGUAUCGGACGCUGGUGUCAAAUAAUUAAUAUCUAGUUGUUUUGACGAAGAAGUAGAUCGCUUCUUAGAAGAUUUUUUUCAGUAGGUAUUUUUAUAAUUCUUUAUCCUUUUCACAUUGAUACAGUAGAACAGUCAUAAUAACCACAAUAACAAGAAAAAGCUUACGCAUAAGACGUGGUUAAUCAACUGACCACAGUCUACGCGCAAGCGGUUAACCCUACGUCAUUGUACGAUCACUUACUUAUAAGCAGAGAAACGAAAGCUUUAGUCAUGUUGGUACUCAGUAGAAGUCCACAUCAAAAGAAAGUCACAAGUAAAAGUUAAACAAACGAGAAAC